RNAcentral lists this ribosomal RNA (497 nucleotides) under uncultured bacterium. RNAcentral's name for it is "partial 16S ribosomal RNA". It matches the Rfam family "Bacterial small subunit ribosomal RNA", at positions 28 to 507 of the family's 1533-position model. The record is from RNAcentral.
GAUGAACGCUGGCGGCGUGCCUAAUACAUGCAAGUCGAGCGAACGGACGAGAAGCUUGCUUCUCUGAUGUUAGCGGCGGACGGGUGAGUAACACGUGGAUAACCUACCUAUAAGACUGGGAUAACUUCGGGAAACCGGAGCUAAUACCGGAUAAUAUUUUGAACCGCAUGGUUCAAAAGUGAAAGACGGUCUUGCUGUCACUUAUAGAUGGAUCCGCGCUGCAUUAGCUAGUUGGUAAGGUAACGGCCUACCAAGGCAACGAUGCAUAGCCGACCUGAGAGGGUGAUCGGCCACACUGGAACUGAGACACGGUCCAGACUCCUACGGGAGGCAGCAGUAGGGAAUCUUCCGCAAUGGGCGAAAGCCUGACGGAGCAACGCCGCGUGAGUGAUGAAGGUCUUCGGAUCGUAAAACUCUGUUAUUAGGGAAGAACAUAUGUGGAAGUAACUGUGCACAUCUUGACGGUACCUAAUCAGAAAGCCACGGCUAACUACGUG